This 1436-nucleotide long non-coding RNA is filed under the name Cyanistes caeruleus (blue tit). RNAcentral's name for it is "lncRNA (ENSCCEG00000006086.1)". Lineage: Eukaryota; Metazoa; Chordata; Aves; Passeriformes; Paridae. The record is from RNAcentral.
CACAAGAGGUUUUUGGGUGCCACAAGAGGUUUCUUUGUGGCACAAGAGGUGUUUUGGGUGUCACAAGAGGGUUUUGGGUGCCACAAGAGUAUUUUGGGUGCCACAAGAGGCAUUUUAGGUGCCACAAGAGGCGUUUUGGGUGUCACAAGAGGUUUCUUUGUGGCACAAAAGGUGUUUUGGGUGUCACAAGAGGUCUCUUUGUGGCACAAGAGCUUUCUGGGUAUCACAAGAGGCGUUUUGGGUGCCACAAGAGGCGUUUUGGGUGCCACAAGAGGCGUUUUGGGUGCCACAAGAGGUGUUUUGGGUGUCACAAGAGGUUUCUUUGUGGCACAAGAGCUUUUUGGGUACCACAAGAGGCGUUUUGGGCGCAGAAGCCCCUUUCUCCCGCACAGCUUUAUUUCUCCGCAGCAGAUGUCGUUUGUCCUGCCCCCAUCCUGUCCCUCCGGCCGUCCCGACGUCACCCAGCUGCCAGGCUCAGAUAAGGCCUCCAGGGACCGAUAAGCAGCUCUUCCCCUUCUCCUCCCUCCUCUGGAGCAGCAGGGAAGGAUGAGGCUCCGCUUCCACAACCCCGUUAAACGCACGGGAACGCGGAGCCGCUCCCACCCCCCUGCCAGGCUCCGGGAAAAACAUUCAUCAACGCAAAUCCUUGGUGAAAAAAAAAGUGAAGAAAUCUUUGGUGAAAUAACAACAAAAACAACAAGAAAAAGUUGUUUCCCCUCCUCCUCAGCUGAGGUUCCAGGGUUCAAACUGCGAUUCUGUGAUGUGGCAAAGUCACGGCCUGCAAGGACAGGCGUUCCCAGAGGAUGCAGAGCAGCAGGAAGAGGCGGCAGGAAUCCCGCAGGAGCUCUGGGAACUUCUCCACGCUGAUAAUGAAGUAGAAAGGGAGGGGAAGAGGCAGCUCCUGCCUGGCUCAGGUUCUCCCUGCCCUGAGCUCAGGUGUCGGCAGCUGCCGGCCAUUCCAGCGCCGUAUCCGUGGCAGGAGCUUCGGAGCGGAUCAGGUUCAGGGAUUUUUUGCUGGCUGGGGAUAAAUGAUGAUGUCAAAACAGGAGAGAUGUUGUCACACCAGUGUGUCCCCUGCUGGGGUCAAGGUCUGUCAGUCCGCCGGAAAGCCGAGAACGGGCAAAAAAAACCCAACAAAACUCUUGUGUUUGGGGUCAGAGCUGCAGACAAAAGGCUCUUUGUGCCGAGAGCUGACAAUGACAAAUAAAGAGGAACCUGUUGAUCUAGGAGAGGAGAGGAGGAUUAUGGAAAGAUCACGUGGUGAGGGAGGAAAAGGCCUUGGCUGCUUGUCUGGCCAUCGGAACGUUCCGGAACGUUUGUUCCCAGAGACGCCGGCUCCUGCUCGUGGCCCUCCUUGUCGGCCUGCAGAACGCUCCCGCUGGAGCUGCCCCGGAGCCCACACGCUCUCAGCUGGUUUUCCUCGCUGGAAAUCACCG